Molecule: long non-coding RNA, 41282 nt
Filed under: Triticum aestivum (bread wheat)
Lineage: Eukaryota; Viridiplantae; Streptophyta; Magnoliopsida; Poales; Poaceae
Description: long non-coding RNA (TAES_LNC028023)
Source: RNAcentral
UGUACUACAUGUGUAUUUUGCAGAACCUAAUAAACCGCCGGUGUGCGUGCGGAUGGAUCCAUGUUUCGAGCGCACUACAUGCUGGGAAAUGUGCGUGGAUAUGGGUUUCCGUGUCCCUCAUCCCCGUUGUAAGGGGAGUGUAGAUCGGCUUUGUUGCUGCCUAGACAGGACCCGUACAACUCAUUGAUGGUUCUCUUCCUGAGCUAUGCAAUGCUGAAUAACUGUAUGCUUGUGAUGAGCGUGUGCUGAUCUUAAUAAAAAAAUAUUUUUUCAUAUUGUAAGUUGUCUAACUUAUGCUCACAAGUAUAAUGAUUAUCAUCUAUUGUUUGUCACUUUUUUAUUUGGAGAAAGUCUAUUAUCUGUCUUGUGCAUGGAAAAGAUUGUAUGUCUCUCUCCAUGGGUGCAUGUAACUUUCAUUUGCAGGCUCAUUUGAGUUAUCAGCAGUGUAUCUAAAGCAACCUUAUUUUUAGACCAUAGAACAUUUCUUUUCCAGAAAAUAGGCCAUUAAAUUGCACUGGUUCCCAUCAAUCAAAAACUGCUCGUCGAAAUGAAAUCUAAUGAACAUCACCUCUCUAGGAUCCAUGUGACUACCCAAUCAUACAAAAGAUACACGAGCAGAAUGUGUGGCAUGUCCGUAUUCACAAAUGGAAGAUCACAACGGCUGCAAGCAAAAAGUACCUUCAGCGUCGAGCACAUUGUCAUCCGUCAAGGCCGCUGUUGCCGUGCCUAGCCAGCCGCCACAGUGCAGUCGCCACCGUGCUCAACCAGCAACCUCGGGCCUCAAUGUCCGGCAGGCCACGACCGCCACCACCGCUAUAGCCACGCCUCACUGCCCACCAGGGCCGCCCAUGAGCGAAUCACCGCCACCACCACUCUGUUUAGGGUUCGUGAAUGAGAAAAGGGAUCAAGAUAAUGCGAGAGCGAGAGAGAGAGCCGGUGGGUGCCGUUAGUCACUUGAUCGACGUGGCGGUCAAAACCAGGCCAUCUGGCCCGUUUUAGUCAAAACAUGGUCUACGCCACAGUAAGGCUACCUUAAUAAUUAUAUAGACAAAAAGUAUCCGGUUUACAAAGACUUACCCCUUCGAAGUAACCAGAUUUUGAGACCGCGCGAUCCGAGUUGAUCUUGAUCCACCCCUCGUCCGGCACCUCCCACUUCCGUCUAGUCCUUUCAGCAGGAGUCUGAACCCUUUGCUGAUGAAUGCCGCGCCACUCCCGAACGUGAUGCAUCACCAGUGGCGGAGACGGGCUUGGGGCAGCUAGGGCUAUAGCCCCAGGCCUAGCAUCAACUUACCUAAUAAUUCCUUCAUAGGAAGUAUAGAAAGUCACAGAAAUUUAGCGCUCAACAUAGCAUAGCCCCAGGCUUAACCUACUGCUAGCUCCGCCACUGUUCACCACACCGUCCUUCAUUUCAUGCGCUGGAGCUAUCUGCUUCCCAUCAUGAGCCUCAUUGCGAGCCAGCCAAAGCCCAUAGGCAGCUUGCAUGAUCAACUCUCUCUCUCAUCCUUGGCUCCAGUGAGCCAAUCAAGAAGCCAUCUGUGCAGAUCCCUGUGUGACACCAAACAGUCCAGCGGAGUGGCCACAAAACAACCCGAUUGGGACUGCACUAGUUUCCGAAACAGCCGAGAAUGGGGGCAAGACCAGAACCUAUGCUGCCACAAGCUGGACAGAAAACACCACCCUUAAUAUGCCAACGAUGAAGCUCCAAGCCCACAGCGAGACCAUUCCACAACAAACGCCAGAAGUGGAUCUUAACCUUCCCAGGAACGUUUGUGUCCCAGAGUACGAGGAAGGCCUUAUGUUGUAUGCAAUGGAAUGUACAUAGGUCCACGGGCGAAGCUAACAAUAUGGCAAGGUCUGGCUAACACGAGAGCCCCUUUUGACGCUCUUUGCGUCAAAUUGGCGGCAAAACGCACACUGGACGGCUUGACUGGACCGGCCCAUCGAACUGUACAGUGGGGCGAAAAAAGAUAGCAAAAAUCAAGGUGGAGCGCGAUGUGAGGAUUCGAACAGGAGACUUGACGCUGGUGAUUGCGACCUCCUAGCCACUCGACCAACCAUAUCUACCUAAUAACAUAGCAGCGCAGGGCUUUAAAAAAGUCAAUAGCGUAGAACUGGGCUGAUGUACUCUAGCGAAUAUGAAUCAUGUACAGUAGCGAACUAGAAUAAUUUACUGCGGUGAUAUUUCUUUUGAAACAAAAAUAUACUUCCUCUGAAAGUGUAUACUUUGGAAUUGUGCAAGCAAUUUCAGAAUUUCUGAACAAAUUGUUGGCAACAGGAAUUUAUUUUUCGAAUAUGUGAACAAAUUUUGAAACCGUGAACAUUUCUAAUUUUUUGAAAAAAUAUUUGAAAAAAUGGAUCAUUUCAUGAAAUUCCAAACAAAAAUACAUGACUACGAACAUUUUUGGAAUUUAUGAACGAAAAUUGAAAAAUGAAACUUUUCAUCAAAUUCUCAAAAAAUUGGAACCGCGAACAUAUUUCAAAUUUUAACCAAAUUUUGAAACCAUGAACUUUUGACUCUGAACAAAUUUUAAAAGAACAAGAACCAUUUUUGAAAUUGUGAACAAAAUUUUCAAAAUUAAAAUAUAUUUCUAAAUUUGCUGAACAUUUUAAAAAAAAAUAAUUUUGUAAUCAGAGAAUAUUUUUUGAAAUCCUGAACAAUAUUUGAAAAUUUUGAAUCAUGUACUGUAGCGAAUUAGAAUAGUUUACUUCAGUGAUUUUUUUUGUGAAACAAAAAUGUACUUCUUCUGAAAGUGUAUACUUUGGAAUUGUGCAAGCAAUUUUAGAAUUUCUGAACAAAUUGUUGGCAACAUGAAUAUAUUUUUCGAAUAUGUGAACAAAUUUUGAAACCGCAAACAUUUUAUAUUUUUUGAACAAAUAUUUGAAAAAAUGGAUCAUUUCAUGAAAUUCUGAACAAACAGUCAUGACUACAAACAUUUUUAGAAUUUCUGAAAAAAAUUGAAAAAUGAAACUUUUCAUCAAAUUCUCAAAAAACAUGGAACCGCGAACAUAUUUAAAAUUUUGACCAAAUUCUGAAAGUGUGAACAUUUGUUGAAUCUGAACAAAUUUAAAAAUAACAGGAACUGUUUGUGAAUUUGUUAACCAAAUUUUGAAAUUACGAACAAAAUUGUGAAAACAAGAACAUUUUUUGAAACACGAACAUUUUUUGAAAUUGUAAUUUUUUUAUUGAAAAUGACAAUAAUUUUUAAAUGCUGAACAUUUUUUUAAAUAUAUAUAUAUUUUAAAAGAGAACAUUUUUUGAAAUUCCGAACAAUACUUGAAAUUUUCGAAGAAAAAAAAAGAACAAAACUAGGCUUAAUAUAAGAAUGGAUCAAAACCCCCACAUGUCCGUAUUCUCUAGUUCAACAUGGCACCCUUUAAUUAGAGCCAAACCAAUAUAUUCUUUUUUUAUUAGCACGUGCCCAUAAUUUGUUUCAAUUAUAAUUAAUCAAUAUAUUCUAUUUUAUUGUCACAUGGAAGCUACCACUGUUAAUAAUUUAUGAAAUGCCAAAUAUACUUGGCAACGUGAAUAAUUUUCCAAAUUACGAUUUUUUUAAAUUCCACACAUUUUAAAAAGACGAACAAAAAAUUUGAACGAAAUAUUUGUUGAAAUUCACAAAUAUUUCUUAAAAGCAUGAACGUUUUAUAAAAAUACGUUUUUUUUGAAGUUGUGAACAAUUUUUGUCAACGGGAACAUGUUUUGAACAUAUGGAAGAAAUUUAGAAAAUGUGUCUUGUAAUGCAAAAAUUAAUCUUGAACAAAUUUGGGAAAACCCAAACAUUUUCCAAAAAAUUGGGAAUAACUUCUAAAAUUCUGAAAAGAAAUCAGAAUGACAAAAAUUUAAAUUUUCAAACACUUUCUAAAUAGGAAAGCAAUUUUGGAAUUCAUAACAUGAACUACCGAAUAUACUUGGCAACGUGAACAAUUUUCCAAAUUUUGAACAUUUUUUGAAAAUUCCAUACAUUUUUGGACAAAGCAACAACAAAAAAAUUGAAAAGAACAUUUACUGAAAUUCACAUACAUUUCUUAAAUACAUGAACAUUCUUAUAAAAAUAUGAAUGUUUUUACGUUGUGAACAAUAUUUUUAAAUGGGAAGGUGUGUUAAACAUGCAAAAGAAUUUUAGAAAAUGUGUUUCUUUAAUGUGAACAUUCUUUUCAAUUAUUAAACCUAUAUGUAAAUCAAGAAUAUUUUUUGAAUUUGAAACAUUUUUUAAGUGCAUUUGUUUAAAUCUCAUAACUUUUUACGAAAUUGUGAAUAAAAAUUGAAACAGCAAACAUUUUUUGAAAAUUGUGGAAUUUCAGAAAAAACUAUUAAAAAUAUACUUACAAUGGAAAAAAACAAACAGGAAAUAAAAAGAGAAAGAAACAGAAAAAGAAAAUUUCUCCAUAGGGCAGCACAAUUUUCAGGUUUUGGUAUGAGGCCGCUGAGAUGUUGGGCUUGGUUACUUCCAAUGGAGUGAUGGGCCGUGUUCAUGGGCUCAGCGCACAUGGUUAAGCCAGGGCACACUGAUCGAUCCAAUUUCAUGAGAAUGAGAAUCACGACUGCUCGGUUGACUUUACUAACAAAAGACUGAUCGGUUGACUACUGGUUCACGAGACUGAGAGAGGCGGUCACGACAAGGGCUUAGGGCAUGCCGCACGGGCACGGCAGUCCGACAGGUCUCAGGUGCUAGCUAAGAGUAUGUACACUCCUGCAUGAGCAAGCCAUUUAAACUAAGAGCAUCUCCAGCCGUUGAAGUCCCCAAGAUAAUCAUCGGUCCAAAAAUAGCACAUAGUGGGGGUUAAAACACUUCCUCCGGAUGAAACGCGAGCACAACGCCCAUGCUUCUUUUUUAGGAAUGCACAACGUCGACGCUUCAUUAUGGAGCAAAGCUGGUUGCCAGAAAACAAGACAAAAAAAGAAAGGAAAAAUAGCUCAAUUCAGCAGUAAUGUAAUUAUGCAAGGAAAUUCGGUUUGUUGGAGCAGGAAUUGUGUAAAACAAAGUGUCGGGAUAAGAUAUAAUUUGAGAAACCACCGACACCACUUCGCUCAUGCCGCCAUCCAUCCCCUUGGUUUGGCAUGCAUGACUCAGGAGUUUGCGCUGUGGCGAGGGUACCCGCCUCAGCCACCCCCUAGCUUGCCAUCGCAAUUGACAGCCUGCUCAGGACAGAGAACGAACAGCCAGAACAAAGGGUAGAGGAAUGCCAGGUCUGGAUAAACAGAUAGAAACGCCUGACCGGUAGAUGCAAAUAUACGCACGACGACCCCCAAAUUCCAACCCCGGUUCAAACAGAGAGGAUGGAGAAUCAAAUCCAUUUUAAGGCCAAAUCCUCCACCGGAAACCCCCAAUCUGAAAUCCCAGAAGAAACAGCCGCAUAGAACGCCUUAAACACUGCCACUUGCCUACCCCAAGUUGACUCUAGAUUGAGGGAAUCCGGUGCCACCCGUGUUGAAAUGAUCACCACACUCCAUUGCUCCUGCUCCCCUGGCUUUAAUGACAACUCCUCUUGCAUUUCCCAAAUUAAGUCUGGGUCACCGAACACCAGCGCUGGCCCCACUGAGUUCUUUUUUUCCACGAGGGAGCCCCAUCGAAUUCGUCAACGCACUGACCUCCUCAUUCUCCACCCUGUCCUCACCGUAACAAUGACCCAUGCCUGUGACUUUCUACUAAAGAAACCGGCCAAUCCUUCUUGUUUUUCAAAUCAUGCAGGAGAAUUGCAUGUGUUGUAUUAAGAGCGAAGAGAAAAAACAGAUUAAAACCCAAAGACGACCACAACAUUCAAAACAAAGGAGCAGGUAAAGGUCUAAACAAAAGAACACUUUUGCUUGGUACAACCCCGUCUACACAUCAACGUAGGAGAUCUCUUCAUACCCCUUCAGGUAGGAUGGUCUUCCUAUAAAAGCAUUGGACCUUGUGUUAGCUCAAUAUAUUCGCUUGAAAUGCUUGUAGUUCGCUUACCAUUCCCUACUAGUUGUAGCUCGUUAGAAUAGAUUCAUUCAUAGAUGGCAUACCAGAUAAAGAGAGAAGUCUCAAUCACGAGGAGUUGGACUAUGCUACUUGGACUAGGAUGCAUCCGGGAAAAAUCAGUCACCAUGAACAUGACAUCUGCUGCUUGGUCUUGAGUGUGCGGAGCAAGUGCCGCCCUCGUGCAACCGUGCUGGCUUCUGCUGAUGGUCAUUGCACCCUGGGUCACUGCGGUGGUUUUGGUAUGACAUUUGCACUACAGCAGGAGGUGGUUCAUCCAGCUGUGUCUGCGCCGAGGGUAUGUGUUGGGAAACAUGGGUCAGGAUGAUGAAACAUCACCUUCACCUUUAUCAGAGGUUUAGUCGAUAACAUGCCCCUCUUGGCAUAGCAAUGAAGAACAUGUUCGCUCUGCCCACGUGUUUCCCGCUCCGAGCAACCUCCAAAAGACCAAAACGGGCCAAGCCAAAUCUUUCCUCCCUUCUCUCACCCACCGAUCACUCAAAUGACUCAUCAAGCAACCCUAUCUCUUGCUCUCUAAGGCACCCAUGCACAUGCACACCCAAAUUACAAUGCCAAUGCCAAGACCAAGCGGCACCCCCUCAUUGUCCUAUCUUGCUUUGCACGGCGUGCACGCUGGCCGAACACGAUGGUACGCUUGGGCCUGGCAUCGACCAUUUUCAUGGCGCCAGAACCGUCCAUGUACCCGUCACAUACGUGCCAUGAUGGUCACCACUUGAGCGCCCGCUCUGUGCUCCCACCGUCGAUCCCGUACUCCCAGGACGUAAUGUCAUUGUUUUCCUCCCGGUGCACUACGGACGACGUGUUGGUGUUGUCCGCUGUCCGAUGCGGAGGCCACCAUUGUGCAGCCCGAGCCCGACUCCGUGUUCGUGCUCUUCGGCUCCGCCACACCCACAGCCAUCACUACGAUGCAAUAUUCCGCGCCUCUGGCCCCGCACCACGUGGCAUGGGUCUCGCUCUCAGUUACGGGGCUAUUGGCUGCCAUGUGGUCGGUGUAGCGCAUAGGACCGACCUCGGGAUAACGACAAUGUUUAUUCAGGUCUCAUGCGUCAGGGAAAGUUGGCCACUACUUUGGUCGGUCGGUUGUGCUGGGUUUGCCUGCCCUAAUUUAUUUUGAGCAGUUUUCAGUAUUCUCUUGUAAAUUUCAUCCUUGUGUUCAUAAAUUGUUUGGCAGGUGCUACAUUCUAUAGCCUUUUUUUACUUUGUGUUUUUUUGUGUGGAGGUUAUUUCGGACAUUCUUGUAAUAGGUUGGAUGUGUUAUUUGUUAGUAAUUAUAUGGCAUUAUCAUUCUGUUCGUAUGUUUUGUAAAUUCUUUGGUACCUUCUUUUGGACAAAGAACUAUAUAUUAAUAUCAAGAAAAUAUUAGUCACACGUGACUUCUGCAGCGACACAAUAUUAAGACCUAGUCGGGACAUUGAGGUUGCACACAACCAAAAAGAUAAGAAAGAAGAAGAAUGAAAAAUAAAGAGACGCGAUGCAACAAGAACCAGUAAAAAGCAAAUAAAUUCCAACAUCAACCACUAUCCUUUGACAACACAUGAGCUACAAGUAAUGUUCUUCGUAAGAAACGCCUUCAAAAAGAGAGACACACAAACACCGAAUCGCUAGAUCCAACCGCUAAAUGUCGGAUCUUGGAUUUUCCAGGUGUGGCCAUCGACAAUUGGCCGUAGGGUUUUCAACCUUGAACUUGAGACCCGGUACUCAAAAGGCACCAUGUGUUUCCGCCACCACGUGCCCAAGAAGACAAUGCUGCCUUGAGAGGUGCUUCCACACAACCUGAUCACGAGAAAAUUAAAACAAAACCGUUCCAUGGCAAAACAGGCCCAGAGAGAUGCCAGCGUGUGGACCCUGACGUGGGGAUUCCCACAUAAUCAAGGUCCUGACUGUGAAUUAUGAAAUACCACACACAAGGGAUAGUAGAUCAUUAUCGACAGCUUCAAAAUACUGUGUUGCAAGUGCUUCAAAGCCAGUGUGGUAUAAUCCGAUGGCGAUGAAGGCGCCUAAAAAUAGAAAGACGAAGUCGCACCAGCACGGUCCGUGCGCCAGCCCUGCACCGCUUCAAGAUAUCGUUGUUGCUCUCACGUCACCUUCGCUGCAGCUUUAAUUAUGGCCACUAGGAGUACCUGUCACCAGACUGCUCAUAUCUAUGGCCUUGCCCUUAACUUCCAGGACAUGAUCGAAGUGCGGCCAUGUGAUCCCAUAGUUUAAAAAAUGAUUGUAGCAAAAGCUAUCGUGCCAUCUGAAAAAUGAUGCAUCGAUCUACCCAAACAAUUGACUGUUGUCUGUUGAACAUAAUUUCCCCCCUAAUCAGCAUUAUGAUGGCGAGUACAUUUUUUCCCGAGUUGCGCUAGUUUCCCUACACAUUGUCUAUAUGGUGCAUCAAGACAUUAAUUGGUUUGGGCCAUGAAAUGUUCAUGGCGCCAAUUCGGUGGAGGACGCGCUAUAUUGCUCACCCGACGCCGAAUAUGAAGUCUCGCGCUAGGUUAGGAGCGCUCUCCAAAAAUUACGUUGAUUGAGGAUGGGAUGGAAACUCUGCUAGAGCGGUUUUUUCAACCAAAAUUGCCAUAAUGGCGGUUACUAUGGUGAUAGGUCCGAGAUAGCAAUUCUGCUAGAGUUGCUCAUAGUCGGCAACCAUGGCCACUUCUAUUUACCGUAUAUGUACGCAACUCAUUUUAUUGGUGCAUAUGCAUGCAACUAAGUAAAUUAACUACCAUAUAUAUGGUUUUAGAUAAAGACGUUUCAGGUCUAAAACCCAGAAAUUAUGGUAAAAAAAACUCACGUUAGUCUCGUGCUUAAAAUAAAAAUGUGACUAAAAUACAUAUAUCAUCCAUCCUUCUAAACUUUUGGUUCAUCAAUUGACUAUGCGACCCUUGGUAUUCGAUCGAGCAGCCCUUGAGCUCCGCAGACUCAUGUUGCUCCAAGUUUAUAUUGUUUUACUCAUCUAAAUACUUGUAGUAUGAACACUUGACCCUUAUUAAUUAAAUCCAUAUAUCAUACCAUAUCACGUGCGAUUCAAAAUAUAGCUUUUUUGUAGCUUCAAACGUAAACACAUAUCACAUGCGAUUCAAAAUAUAGCUCUUCUACUUAUACAGGAUGAAAGAACAAGAGGUUGUUGAACUAAAAUUUAUGGAUUGUCAGCUUUAACUUCUCUCUUUCAGAAUAAGAAAGAGAAGAUAGGAUGUUAAUAUUUGGUUGAUGGAUAGUUAGUGCAACCACCAAGGCACCAACCUUCCUUUGUUUUAAUAAUAUUGCAUCCAAUCUUUGCCCCAUAUAUUCGCUCCACAUGCUAAUGGCAUAUAUGCUUGCAAUACCUCCUACUUGUCAUACCUCUCAUCAGAAUAAUUGCACCCGUAGAUGAGGCUCUAGAUAAAUAUGAAGACCUAAUACGAAAAGUUGGAUAAGUGCAAUGCUAUUUGGACUAGGAGGCAUCAGGGAACAAUCAAGGUGCUACAUGGUACAUUACUGCAGAGGGUUAGGGUUUAGAAGUUAAUGGAUACAUGUGAGAGACGAUUAGAUAUGGGAAUGCUCUCCUUUGUUUGUACUGACACCUACAUGCUGGAACAGUCUGCCCAUGGCACUUAGAGCCUCAGACGCAAUAGUGAACUUUCUGGUAUCAGUGUUCGGUGGAUACUACUCUGAGCUUCAAAAUUACUCACCACCACAACCAGCCUCCCUCAGAUGCUCCUGUUCAGCGCUUUUAGCCAAAUAUGCGCUAUAACACACUAUAGACCNNNNNNNNNNNNNNNNNNNNNNNNNNNNNNNNNNNNNNNNNNNNNNNNNNNNNNNNNNNNNNNNNNNNNNNNNNNNNNNNNNNNNNNNNNNNNNNNNNNNNNNNNNNNNNNNNNNNNNNNNNNNNNNNNNNNNNNNNNNNNNNNNNNNNNNNNNNNNNNNNNNNNNNNNNNNNNNNNNNNNNNNNNNNNNNNNNNNNNNNNNNNNNNNNNNNNNNNNNNNNNNNNNNNNNNNNNNNNNNNNNNNNNNNNNNNNNNNNNNNNNNNNNNNNNNNNNNNNNNNNNNNNNNNNNNNNNNNNNNNNNNNNNNNNNNNNNNNNNNNNNNNNNNNNNNNNNNNNUAUAAAAGAAAACAAGCUACUACACGAGCUGUAUACAAGAAAAAAAAUAGCACCCUUCCUUUUUACAAAAAUGACUCGGGACUAUUAUACAAGUUUAUUAAAAGUAGAAAGCACCCCAAACAUAAUAAAAAAGAUCAUUGUCGUCACCAAAAUGAGUCACUAUCACCACUUCCGUACCGAAGGUGAUCUCACCUUGUCGAUAAAAGACGGGAAGUCUUCAUGCAUGUUACCCUAGGGACCAACACACUGGACCCGCAAUCGCCACCAUUCAAGCCUUGAAUUGAUAGGGAGAAACUGACAGAAAAUCUCACUGUUGCAUACACAUGAUGAGCGAUAUUAAAUCGCCACCACAAGUAGCUGCCAGAAAUCUACGUUGGACCUCCAUAUAAUCCCUCUCGAGGGAUGAGCUUGAGGAUAAACGAAGUCAGAAUCUGACUCGAAGAAGAAGCGACACCAUCUAUCUGAGCGCCACCCCUGCGAGGACUAAAACCCCAACCUAUCUACUAACUAGAGCCGAUGCACCAGGAUUCCCCUCCCCGCCACCGGCCACCAGAGUGGCAGACGGAGAGGAGGCGAGUCCAUGGGCUCAGCGGCGAAGAUUGAGGGGAGCAAAGCUUUGUUGUACUACCCUUGUGAGAGGGAAAAAAAUAUGUUAGACGCCCUCGCUUUGUAUAUGAAAGCGGCAUGCUACUCACCACCGGGAAAAACUAGUUUUUUGAGAAAUUAAAAAUGUUACUAUGAAAAUACAUUAGUGAAUUUAAAAAGUGUUCAUGAAUUUUAAAAUUUAUAAUCCACUUCGAUUUUUUUUCCAAAUUUUAAAAUAAGUUCCAGAAUUUUCGAAAUGUUUAUUUUUUAGAAAUUGAACAAAUUUUGAAGUUUUAUUUCUGCAUUUUGAACAAUUAUUAUGAUUUUUGAAAAAUUCUCUCGAAUUUACAAAUAUAUUAGCAAAUUUCAAAGACAUAUGUGAGUUCAAGAAUAUAGCAAUUUACAGAUGUUAAUAAUUUUUUUAAAUAUGUGUUGUUUAAAGAUAUUCAAAAAUUGAUUUUUUUAUUACAAUUAUGGUAAAUGUUCAUGAGUUAAAUUGCAAAACAAUUGAGGACAAGGUGGAAAAAGAAUAAUGAAGUAUGCACUAGAAGAAAACCAUAUUUAGUCUGAUAGAAAAGAAAACCCGCAUGGGUCCCAGUGUAAGUUGACUUGUUUGUACUCUAUCCUCCCCUGUGGGUGAAUCUUAUAGUUUUCGGCCUCUCUCAUCUGGCGUUGAGCGGACCUAUGCUAUCGGUAGAGACUAAGUUGACACAGUUGACGACUUUACCCAAUCCCAUUUACCUAUAGCCCACCUGGAAAAAUGACCACGGUGAAAAAACAAACAGAAUCCAUCCAUGCACAAGUGCUACAUGAGUUAGUGCACUAGAGAGGGUUAAUGUUUGAGAGUUAAUGGAUACAUAUGAGAGAUGCUGAAUACUUGGAAUGCUCCCCUUCAUUUGCAUAGAGACCUUCGCACUAGAAAAAAAAAGACCUUCGCACUAAAAAAAAAAGACCUUCGCACUAGAACUCAUUCGCAGGGCCAGUCAAAGACACUGACAGCUGGACCAUAGCAGCAACUGCAAAAAUUGUUGCACCAGUGGUCAAUGGACUACCAAGAACUGCCACAUCCAGCAGCCACUCACACCCUUGCCUAGAGGCGCACCUAUAAUAUCGGUCUGGGAUUAAGUGAUCUCCCCUAUGAUUUUGGCACAAUCCCAUGUACAUAUAGCUCCUUUUUGGGGAAAAUGUACCUAUAGCUCAGUAAAAAAAGUGACACCAGUGAAAAAUCAAACUGACCCCAGCCCAUCAGCAUACAUCCAUGCAUGCACAAGUGCAAAGCUACAAAACACUACUUUGUCUAGGGCGAGCAAAUUUAGCAACUACUCCCUUCAUUCCUAAAUAUAAGCCUUUUUAGAAAUUUUAAUAUAGAUUACAUAUGAAGCAAAAUGAGUGUAUCUGCACUCUAAAAUAUGUCUAUGUACAUUUAUACAUAUUUUAGUAUAGACUAGAUAUGAAGCAAAAUGAGUGUAUCUACGCUGUAAAAUAUGUCUAUAUACAUUCGUAUGUAGUCUCUAUUAAAAUUCCUAAAAAGGUUUAUAUUUUGAAACAGAAAGAGUACUAUAAGAGCAUCUUCAACAAUGGCGCCAAAAAACGCGUGUGCGCAGCAACUGCCAUUUUAGCGCGCGGGACGUUUCCGCGCGCUCCAGCGAAGGCGGAAAACUAGCACGCACGAGAAACGAUUGCGCGCACGCAGUAGAAAGCGGGCCGUAGCGCGCUAGAUUUGGCGCACCGCUUCCGGCGCGCCUAUAAAUUGCGGCGCUCGCCACGCGGCCACCCAUCGCCAUCCACACUGCCACGCGCGCUCUCGCGGCUUCCUCUGCUUCCUCUGCCGCUUCCUCGCCCCGCCACCGACGCGCCACCACCGCGCCACCAUGUCUCCGCGCCGCCGGGGAUCUUCGGGCUACCGCGGCGUCCGUGAGCGCCCCUCCGGCGCCUUCUACGCCGAGAUCCGGUCUGGCGGACAGGCGUCGACGCAAGACACUGGCCAUAUCGCAGAUCGAUCUUGUUAACACAGGUGGGAGGUCAUUCUUCACCCCAGACGAUGAUCAUUGGGAAGAAACGUGGCUCGAUACCUCGGACAACACCAGCGAGAAUGAUUCAGAGUAGGGUCUAAUUGCACCGUAGUUUUUUAAUAGUGUUGGACUAGUUUUUUUAUCUAUCUAUCCUAUGAUGAACUAUGUACGCACUGUGAAAUAUCUAUGUAUCUUUUUUUUAAUCUAUGAAUAUGUCUUUUAUAUUUAGUUCGGAGUGCAUAUGUUGUUUGUGCUGCUCGCGCACGCUGCAUUUUAUUGCGGCCGUUGGAGCCAGCCCUGGCCGCCGUGCCAAAACAUACGAUUGGCUCGCUGCAAACGCAUUUUUAGCGCGCCGCGCGUUGGACGAGUGUUGGAGAUGCUCUAAAACAAUUACUCGGCAACGUCGAGUUGUCUUGCUUGCGAGAAGCACUUCCCCGUUGGUGUCAAAAAAAAAAAUCAGUCUCUCCUACUUAACGAACGACAUCAAUAAUCGGGACAAGCCCAUGCGCGUGGACGGUGAAGACGUAUCCCAUGACUCCUUCUCUAGUCAACCACGGAACAGAAAGAUGGUGAGCACGCUAAUCCCAGCUACGUACAACACAAGAGAAGGUCCUCACUCACCGUGAACAGAAUCCUCGAAGCAGAGGAGGAAACGCAAGGCCUCCUUUGUCUGGACCAUGAGGCUAUCAUCAUAGUGCUGAUUUCUCUAUAAGAUGAACCCAUGCUGACAGUUUUGCUCUCCAUACGACAUGAAGAGCAGCUCGCCGAGGUCCACCGUGGCGGCUAUCUUGGUACCGCGUCGAAGCUCUCCAGGUAGUAUCAUAACAAGUCGGUAAAGAUCAAACGGCGCCAUCCUUCAUCUUUGACUCACACUUCUUAAGUCACUUUAUUUUGCCGAGUUCUCGACAGAUGUUACUCGACAACGUUCUGUUUGCCUAUGGAGUGUACGCUGAAUGCCAUUUGCCAAGAGCAGUUUUCGGUGAUGCCUUUGCUGAGUUUUUUUAGUCCUUCACAAAGUUUCUUGGGCACUCAACAAAGUAGGAGAUUCCAGUAGUUCGUUCACGUAUAUUAAUCUAGUGCCUAGACCUAUCAAGAACACCUUUAGCUUCUUGAUAUCGCUUCAGAGAUGUAUGCAUGCAACCAAGUAAAUUAAGUAUAAUUUGGGUUAAUUAUUCGAUGUUGUAUUAAGAUGUUUAAUGUGGAUUUUGUGUCAAGAGAUGUCGAGUUCAACGUCUUACCAAUAUACUACUAAAAUUUGAUGAUUCACAUUAACCUUAACCUUAUGCUUUUCAGACCUCAAUGAGUAUAGAAAUGGUAACACAGUUCACAGACCCAUCUUGUAAACAUUAUUGUUCACCCAAUUGAAUAGAUAAUGCUAGAGAAUAUGUGAAACUUGGUCUUGCAGACAGGCAUCCUUUGAGGUCUAUGGGCUUAAUUGUCUCCAAAUUGCUAUUGUUUAUUUUUCUAACUACUUGUAAUUAGCACAACUUUAGUAGAUUUCACACCCUAUGAAUGUCAAGCGCUAAAUACAAGCUCUGUUGUUUGAUUAAGUUUCGAUUCACGUCUUAAUGCGUAUCAUGUGUCUAUCAAAAUAGAGAUGUUCUGCUUCCACCAGGUGCAUUUAUAGACUCUGUAAUAAAAGCACAUGGAUGGUUGGAUUCGGGUUCUCUUCUUCAAGCAAAAGAUGUGGUCUUAAUGUUUGUUGGAUGGAUAACUUAUGCAACCACCAUCCUUCCGUUGUUUUUAAAAGCAUUUGAUCUUGCCUUUGCUCAAUAUAUUGGCUUGGCAAGCUUGUAACCGGCUUAUGAUUCCCUACUUGUUGUCACCCGUUAGAAUAGGUUCACCCAUAAAUGGAAUACUACAUCAAGAGAGGAACCCAAUAUGGAGGGGUUGGAUAUGUACUUUGCUGCUUGGAUUAUGAGGCAUCGGUUAACAAUCAGCUGCCGGCUCUUGACAUCCCGCGGCCCAGUGGUCGACAUUUUGCGCCACUCUUCUUCUAUAGGGUCGGAGCAGCCCCCGUGCAACCACAAAUGACUUUGCUCAGGGUUGGUGUUGAUGAGAGACCCAUGGUCGUUGCAUUUGGAGAAUGACUUGUGAAGACGAUGACAUUUAGAUAGACUAAUUGAGACGCACCUUGGUUUUCAAGGUGGCAAGGUUAAGAAAAAGGCGAGUUUCAUCAGAGCUUUUAGUCGUCCGCUCGUGGCAUGGCGACAAAAUCCCCGAAGCAGAGCAGGAAACGCAAGGCCUCCUUGGUCUGGACCAUGAGGCUAUCAUAGUGCCGAUUUCUCUAUAAGAUGAACCCAUGCCGACAGUUUUGCUCUACACACGACACGAAGAGCAGCUCGCCGAGAUCCACCGUUGCGGCUAUCAUUGUACCGCGUCGAAGCUCUCCAGGUAGCAUCAUAACAAGUCGGGAAAGACCAAACGGCGCCAUCCUUCAUCCUUAACUCACAGUUCUAAAGUCACUUUAUUUUGCUGAGAUUACCCAUUUGGUUCUCGGGAAUAAGUAUGCCGAGCUCUCCGCAUACGGUACUCGACAACGUUCUGUUUGCCUAGGGGGUGUACGCCGAAUGACAUUUUCCGAGAACAGUUUUCGGCAAUGGCUUUGCUGAGUUCUUUUUCGUCCUCCACAGAGUUUCUUGGGCACUCAGCAAAGUAGGAGAUUCCACUAAUGGAAUAGUGAAUGGUCGUUCACGUAUAUUAAUCUAAUGUCUAGACCUAUCAAGAACAUCUUUAGCUUCUUGAUAUGGCGUCAGAAGUGUAUGCAUGCAACCAAGUAAAUUAAGUAUAAUUUGGGUAAAUUAGUCGAUGUUGUAUUAAGAUGUUUAAUAUGGAUUUUGAGUCAAGAGAUGUCGAGUUCAAAGUCUUACCAAUAUAGUAGUAAAAGUUCUUGAUUCACAUUACCCUUAACCUCAUCUUUUUCAGACCUUAAUGAGUAUAGAAAUGUUAACACACUUCGUACACCCAUCUUGUAAACAUUAUUGUUCACGCAAUUCAAUAGAUGAUGCUAGAGAAUAUGUGAAACUUGGUCUUGCAGACAGACAUCCUUUGAGGUCUAUGGGCUUAAUUGUCUCCAAAUUGCUAUUGUUUUAUUUUUCUAACUAAUUGUAAUUACCACAACUUUAAUAGAUUUCACACCAUAUGAAUGUCAAGCGCUAAAUACGAGCUCUCUUGGUUGAUUAACUUCCGAUUCACAUCUUAAUGCGCAUCACGUGUCAUUCAAAAUAGUUUUGUUCUGCUUCCACCGGGUGCAUUUAUAGACUCUGUAAUAGAAGCACAUGGAUGGUUGGAUUCGGGUAUGUUCUUCAAACAAAAGAUGUGGUCUUAAUGUUUGUUGGAUGGAUAACUUAUGCAACCACCAUCCUUCCUUUGUUUUAAGAGCAUUGGAUCUUGCCUUAGCUCAGUAUAUUCGCUUGGUAUGCUUGUAGCAUGCUUAUCAUUCCCUACUUGUCACUUGUCGGAAUAGUUUCACCCAUAGAUGGAAUACUAGAUCAAGAGAGAAAUCGCAGUCACCAGAAGUUGGGCUUGUACUUUGCUGCAUGGAUUAUGAGGCAUCCGGGAACAAUCAGCUGCAGGUUGCUGAACACCCGCGGCUUUGAGAUCUACAUCCUGCGCUAGUCAUCUUCUAUGGGGUCGGCGCAGCCCCUGUGCAACCACAUAUUGGUUCACUCAGCGUCGGUAUUCGUGAGAGAGCCGGGGUCGUUACAUUUUGAGAAUGAUUUGUGAACACUGUGACAUUUGGACAGAUUCAUCUUGCCAUAUCUCGGUUCUCACCCUGGCGAGAUUAAGAAAAAGGCGAGUUUCAUCGGAGGUUUUAGCCGUUUGCUCUACCCACUUCAAAGCCGACCAAAUCAAAUCUCGUCCCACUCAUCCCACACAUAUUCAUCAGACACACACACCUCGUCGACAGAAAUCCACUCGCCCUCCAUGCCACCCCAUGCACGCACACUCACCUCACAGUGCCAAUGGCAACAACCAGCGCCACCUCGCCUAACACAUCCUCGCCAUCCUCGUGCUCUGCACCGCGUGCCGUCCAUGCUCCAGGCGUCACCAUCUCCGCAAAGCCAGAGCAGUCGUCGUACCCGCUCUUGCAGCCGCCGUCGAACGAAGCACCCACCAUCCUGUCAAGCCUGAGCCCCCCCCCCUCUCCCAAUCCCAACGCGCUCGAGCCCGCCUCUGCGCGUGUUCGCGCCCUUUGUAGGUCGGUCUGGGAUGCAGUCCUCCGCGCCCCCGCCGCCCCGCGUAGCAUCGGCGGCGCUCUCGGCCAUGGGGCUCAUAGACGCAUCAGGAAAAGUUGGCCAAAAUGUUUGUAGGUCGGUUGGGCCCUGUGUUUGCCUGCGCCGUGUUUUUUAGAUUUUUUAGUAAACUCUUCUAAGUUUCAUCCAUGUGUUGAUAAUUUUUGGCCAGGUGCUAUAUUCUAUAGACUUUUUUUUGCGAAUUUUGUUAUGUGAAGAUUUUUGGGCCAUUCUUGUAAUAAGACUAGACCGAAUAGUUUGUUGAUGAUUAUACGAAAUUAUCAUCCUUUUUCCAAUAAAGCGGGCUUUAUUAACUCAAAUGUAGCAUUAAGGGGAUACAGACACAUGAUGAGGAAUACCCGUCUCUGCACAACUAGCAUGGACACAGCCAAACACCAAUAAUUUGACAAAGCAAAAUUUAAAAACCGACAUAUCGGCAAUAGUAAAGCCAUAGGACCAACACUAUGCCUAUGUCAAUGGAGGUGAUGGACCUAUUUGUAGAUUAUGCUGUCACCUAUGUUGGGUGAAAAAGUCCCUAGCCACCCGCUCCAACUACAUACACACCCCUUGAACAGCCAUUUCUACACCGUAUGGUGUAGCAUAGAUCACAUAUGAAGUCCAUGAGUACAAUGAAAAAUAGCCUGCAAAUGAAUGGACUUUUUACCAUUGAGCACAAAAACAUUUCUACGUAGUCAUAGCCAUCAUAAUGAGGCCGACGUUCCCACCCUUAUUACUGUCCUAAAUCUAUUUGGGAUUCCAUCCAACAAGUCACAGUAUAUGUUGGUAACACUAAUCACGGAUACAAAUUGGAUGCUAUUUGAAUGACUAACUAUGUAGAGUUUGCAAAGUUGCACUGAGAAAGAUUUGUUUGAUUGUCUCAUCGUCAACACUAAAACUACACUUCUUGUUUCCCUGCCAAUUGUGACGAGCAAGAUUGUCUUUGGUUAGCAAAACUCGCCCUCGAAGAUAGCACAUAAAAACCUUGCCUUUUAGUGGAAUCUUCGACUUCCAAAUUUGCCUAUUGUUCUCCACUGGAUUCUCUCAAUGCGUAAGUGCACAGUAAAUAGAGUCGACUAUGAAGUACCCAUGUGCAUUGAGAUUCCGGCAGAAAAUAUCAUGUGCUUGUGUCAGGUUAAUCAAAUCCAAUCGGCAAGGAAGAUUUUUAAAUUUUGAGAGAGAAUUUCACUUCUCGGUCUCUUCACCAACUAGGGAUGCACAUAUUCUUUUUAGCAUGAGUACCAAGAUAAGCAUGGUUCUCAAAGAUUUUUUUUCAGCCCCUAGUUGUGUUCUCAAAUUCCAAACGAAAGAGAAAACAAUUGAAGGGUAAUCAGCCUUCCAGGGACCUAUGCGCAAACAUAACAGGCAGUCACGAGGGACUCUUUGCGAUAAUAACCACAACACCAAGCUCUGCCCACGCUCACACCCACUGACGUGGGGCCAUACGCCAGCUGUCAAGCCAUGCGGACGACGCAUACAUGGGCGUACGAGCAAAGGCACCGUAUAUGCACCAUUCGGACAAGUUAUGGCACCACUUUUACGUAUUUUGCAACUUUAGGCACUAAACUGAACGCGCUGGACAAGUUUAGGCACCUGUGGUGUAUUUACAUCUUUCCCAAUCUAGUCCACCUUGACAGUUAAUGCAUGCUUCAGCUAGAUGACGACAAGUAAUGUGCUUGCGAUUGCAGGGUAAUCAUGUUGUUUCUGAUAGCUUUGGCUGCACCUAUUAUUUGCCUCUUAUUACAUAUCAGGAAAUCACUGGUUCUAGGAGUGCCAUUUUUUCGACAAAGAGUUAUAUAUUAACAUCAAUAAUAUAUUAGGUACACAUGACUUAUAAAACGACACAAUAGUAAUACCUAGUAGAGACAAUGAGGCCGCACAUCACUUUUGUUUUCAAAUAAGGCCAUCGCAUGGCUUUAAAUUAAUGAAGCCCUUACAACGGCCAGUAUAACACGACACCAAACACACAACAACUAAAGUAAAAAAAAUGAAACAAAACAAAAGCGGCUAGAUACAAGGUGCCGAGGACCAUCAACUAAACCCCAAAAGACUACUGGAAAACAUUGGCUGGGACAAGGAAGCACCGCUUGAAGUCAUCGAGGCCCUCAUCCACCAUGAAGCCAACCGAAGCAAGAAUGAGGAUAACUCAAGAAGGGGACUAGUCAUCAAGGGACGCCAUGUCGUCGCCAUCACCUGGACACGGAGCAAUAGCGCCAUCCAACUAUAUCGUCUAAAGGAGCACCCUGCCCCCUCGCCAUGGCUCAAAGGGCGUCGUACCGUCGACAAUGAGAACGCUCACCUAGCUUCUGGAUGGACACUAACGCUGAGACCACAUUUGAGGAUUCCGAACAUAACCGCUCGACAAACUAACACAUCUUGAGAUGACCAUCAGAGACGCUACAGAACCAUCAAGCGAAGAGGAAAUUUUCAUCCAGUAACACACCAUCGACCACCACAAAGGACCUUGCUCAUGAGACGGUGCCUCCAAGAAGGGAAUGACAUGACAGUGCCACCACUGCACAACUUCACAUGUCAGAACCAUGGCUUUCACACAGAGCACACCGUGGAGGAGGACAACCCACAGAGACGCCUCCAAGGAGGGAAACGACGCUCGAGAGCGCUGCCGUCACUGGCAAUGACAUCUUUGUGCAGAGUAUUCACCGAGAUACAGGCCCCCAGCCAAAUAAGGUCAUAUGUCAACACCCACCAGCGGCCAAAGCACAUCGGAGAGUUGAGGUAGCCAGAUGGUGAAGCGAGCAACACAUAGAUCUAUUCAAGCGGUGCGGAGACUACACCUAAACCAAAUAAUCGAGCGGGCCACGGUGCCGCGGCCACGGCGCCACACCAGCACCGCACAACAGCACGCGGCGCAAGAAUGCUGCCAUGCCAGCCGUCGGGGGCCGCCACUCUGGGAAACAUAGGAUCGACCUCAUCCGUCCCCUUCGAAAGGACAAGCCACAAGCACGCAACCAACCGACCCAACUGCCAUGAUAGUGCUACUCUGGUACACCCAGCCUCGAAACGCACACCUGCAGGCAGAGCCCAACCAACUUCGAUGGUGGCCUACCAUCAGAGAAAAGGCCUUGUUUGGCAUAGGCACGACGUUGACUAGCUGGGACAGGCAGGAGCCCCUAGCCCCAACCUGUGGCCAACAGUGGUCGAGAAGGGCGACUGUGAUCAAGCCAACCUGCACCCUUGUGGGCAGGCCCCCAUGGCACAGAUCUGGAGCAGGCAACGUCGUUCCCGCGGCGCCACAGACGGCUGGGCUUGAAGACGGAGGGCUCCGCUCAUCCUACGCGGGGAGAGGCCAGGAAGGUACAUGGCGAUGUGGAAGAUCUGGGUCUUUGCGCCGACGAUCCAUAGCAUGAGCGGGCAGGGGAGAGGCGGGGGGGAGAGGAGGUGGAGGGGAGGCCCCGCCGUCGCCGCGGGCGGCAAUCGGCGGUGGCGGCAAGGUGGGGAAGGGCACUAGUGGGGGACUGACGGCGCUAGGGUUGGCUCCCCCGAGUCGACCAGGGAGGACGACACGGGGUUCGAGGUGGGGGAAAAUAUUUUAUGUAUCCGGCAAAACACGACUAAAAAGUUAAGAAAGAGGAAGAAUGAAGAAUAAACAGAGGCAACACAACAAAACCCUGUAAGANNNNNNNNNNNNNNNNNNNNNNNNNNNNNNNNNNNNNNNNNNNNNNNNNNNNNNNNNNNNNNNNNNNNNNNNNNNNNNNNNNNNNNNNNNNNNNNNNNNNNNNNNNNNNNNNNNNNNNNNNNNNNNNNNNNNNNNNNNNNNNNNNNNNNNNNNNNNNNNNNNNNNNNNNNNNNNNNNNNNNNNNNNNNNNNNNNNNNNNNNNNNNNNNNNNNNNNNNNNNNNNNNNNNNNNNNNNNNNNNNNNNNNNNNNNNNNNNNNNNNNNNNNNNNNNNNNNNNNNNNNNNNNNNNNNNNNNNNNNNNNNNNNNNNNNNNNNNNNNNNNNNNNNNNNNUAGAAGGGGUAGUAUUGUCCAUACUAAAUUAUGUAUUAGUGUACCCACCGUCCGUCGUAGGGCCGGUCGCCCGUGUACGUCGCGCCCCGUACGCCCGCGUCGUACGUCGCGCCCCGUGUGGUUCGGUAGUGUGAUCGAGGAAAAAAAACGCCCCACACCGACACCCCAUCUACGCGUACGCAACCCUAGCGGCAUCAACGCCGCCGUGGUCCGCCGCCGUCACGACGUCGGGCGGCGUCCGUAGUCACCCACGCGGUGUCUCACCGGUGUCGCGUGAAACCGACACCCCAUCCCCGCGUAGGAAACCCUAGCGGCAUCAACGCCGCCGUGGUCCACCGCCGUCAUGACGUCGACCCCGACGUGCCCGUCUAGUCGCGAGCACCGACGGCGUCUGUAGUCACCCACACGUCGUGACGCCGGUGAAACGCCCAGCGCUCCCGUGAACGUUCUGUCCUGGUAUGCGCCCUCCACGACGUGGGUGGCAGCAACGCAUCGGCGUCGACCCCAGGCGAGGACCCCUCGAUGGCGCACAGUAGGUUCCCGGGCUCUUUUUUUUUUCUUUUUGAUUUGUCCAUUGCAUUUUUGUGCAUUUUUGUAUGUAAAAUGAUUCACUACUUAGCUAAAUAAGAGAGGAGAGUAGUGACCUCUUAAUGACCUCAUAAUGAUUUUGUAUGUUCAAAUUUGUAUGCAUGCCACAUAGUCAUGUCACUGUUGACGAAUUUACUGUAUUCGCGAUGAUGUUUUGUGGAAUGUUGGCAUUGAUCUCACACCUUAUUCGUAUGUGCAUAGAUGGAGCAAAUAACCGGAUACGCCAGUGAUGAUUCCGGUAGCGAUAAUGGAUCCUCGUCAUUGAAUGCGAAUCAACCUCCCGGAGUCAACUAUAUGAGUCAGGAUGAAUCGUACAGUGGUAAUGUAAGUGCCUUCAAUGUUGACCAAAACAUAAUGAAUACGAGUUAGUUAUUUCACACUUACAUGUCCUUUUAAAUUUGUACAGCUACAUGGCAAUGAUGACGAUGAGGAAUAUGAUAUAGAUGAACAAUUUUAUGCAGAUAGUGUGAGCCAGGUAUGUUGAAAAAAUUGUAGAGAAAUGAUUGACAUUAAAAUUGUAUGAACACUUAUGUUACUUUACAUGUGCACAGAUAAAUGCUAAUGUUGACAAUGAGCGUAAUAAUAUAGAUGAUGACAAUGCCGAGAGCGAGGUCGAUGCAUCUCGUAGUGGGAGUGGUAGCCAAGUAAGUUAUUUACAUUAUUUAUGGUUAGUAACAAUACAAGAACAGAUUGACAUGCAAGGUUAUAUGUCAUAUUUUGCAGGGAGGUGUUGAUGGUCCUAGCGGGAACGAUGAGCACAAUGAUGAUGAUCAGUUUGACCUUGACAUGUGCUAUGAUGAAUAUCAGCAAGAGUCACUUGAUAGGCAUUGGGCAGUGAUGCUAAAGACAUUCAGGUCAUUAGACGAGGUGUACACGUUCUACAACAAGCACGCGAGAGAACGUGGAUUCAGCAUCAGGAAGGACUCGCUAAAAUUCUUGAAGGAUCGCACAAGGACUCCGCACUUGAGGAGGUAUCUCUGUUCCGCCGCAGGAAAACGACAGGCCAAGUUCUGUACCAUGGAAGGCCGGACCCGCAGGCUUAGACCGGAGAGUCGAUUCUUAUGCGAAGCCCAUUUGAUAGUUAAGCUUGAUAAAAAGCUCAAUCUUUGGUAUGUCAGCAGUUUCUCCGAUGAUCACAACCACACUCUUGCACGACCGGACGAAGUCCCUUUCCUCCGAUCUCAUAAUCAGAUCAAAGCAUUGGAGAGAGCUGAGAUCUUAGCUACGGCUGGAGCUGGGAUAAGAAAACAUAUCAUUUUUGACAACAUCGUUAGCAGGUAUGGGUCGUAUGCAAAGUCACCGUUUCAGAGGACAAAGUUGUAUAACAUGUGCUAUAGGGAGAAGAUGAAAUUGCUUGCACAAGGUGAUGCUGAUACUGCCAUAGGGAUCAUGUUGACCAGAAAGGACAGAGAUCCAGACUUCUUCUUUGAGCACACGGUUGACGCUGAAGGCAGGCUCCAAAACCUUUUCUAGUGUGAUUCGCAGUCACGCCGGGAGACUAUGGUGAUGUUGUUGUGUUCGACAACACAUACAAGAUGAACAGGUAUGGAAUGUCGUUCAUCCCUUUUGUGGGUCUGAACAACCACCGUUGCACUACGGUAUUCGCCUGCGCCAUUGUUUCAGACGAGACUGAGGCUCCAUAUGUUUGGUUGCUUAACACGUUCUUGAAAGCUAACUGUCAGAAGAGGCCCAAAUCUGUAAUUACCGAUGGAGAUGCAGCAAUGGUAAGGGCCAUCAGGAAGGUGCUUUCUGAUGUGUGGCAUCGUCUAUGUUCAUGGCAUAUUGAAAAGAAUAUGCAGAAACACCUCAACCACAAGUCAUUGAAGGAGUUUAGGGCAUUAUUGUACUAUGCCACUACACAUAAGGUUUUUGAGGAGAGAUGGGCCGCGUUUGUGCGCAAAUGGCAGACGGAGAAAACGAAAACAUGGCUCCAUAGGAUGUACAGGAAGAGGAUGCUUUGGGCUGCAUCAUAUUUGUCUGGUGGGUUUUUUCCUUGGUAUGCGCAGUAAUCAGAGGAGUGAGAGUCUGAACUCCAGCCUGCACCUUCAUCUUGACUAUGGUAUGACAAUCGUUGACAUGAUUGUACACUAUGAGAAUUGUAUUGUUCGCCUCUGUGAGAAUGAAGCUUAUGAUGACUACACAGCCUCACAGACUCUUCCAGCAACAGUGACUGAGUGUCAGGCCAUUGAGUCGUAUGCUGCGAAGCAUUCACGCAGGCAAACUUUUAUAUGUUGCAACAAGAUAUGAAGAAGGUACAGGAGCUUGAGGUAAUUGAUAGACUGACAAGGACCGAUAGUCAGAGAUUUGUGGUUGCGUGGAAGAAUAACAGGGAUCACAGAUUUAAUGUGGACUAUACGCCAGGUAACUCCGCAGAAACUAUAAAGUGCAGUUGCCGAAGUAUGACUCGCAAAGGGCUUCCUUGCAAGCAUAUUAUUCAUGUUUUGAAUGCACUGAACUUACCUGUGAUACCCAAGUCUUGUGUCCUAUGAAGAUUCUCAAAAAAAGCACGAGCUGGACUGCCCGUGAAGCGCACCAGCGAUUUGUUUGCGUAGGAUUGGUCCAGUGGUGAGGACAGAGCUAGAUAUAGUGAGUUGACCAUCAAAUCUUCAGAACCAUGUCAUGUCGCAUGCAGUAAUCCUUUCUUAUUCGACAAGUUGAUGGCAGCUCUAGAUGAUAUUAUAGCGAAUAAGGACAUACAGGGAAAUGAAGAUGAUAGUCAGAGAAGCUUCGUGAAUAAUAAUCCAUUUGAGCCUAACCGAGACCAUAUUCUGGUUCGUGAUCCAGUAAAGAUUUCCACCAAGGGCGCACCUAAGCAGAACAGUAGAGGUCGCGGUAAGGGUGACCCAGAUGUGACAAAAAAUGAGAGGCCUAAAGCAUUUGACGAGAAAUCUGGACGAAAAUGUAGCAUAUGCAGCGGCUCGGGUCAUAACAGGAGCACAUGCAGCAAAAAUGAAGAGUAUGUCUAUUAUUUGUGUAUGUUAGUUUUGCUGUUUCAUUUACGGUACAUUGAUUCUCAUAGUUUUUUGUAUGCAGCAACUGGGCUUGAAGACAGAAGUGACGACGGUGCAUCUGUUUUACUGCUUCCAUUUAUAUGUAACUGUACGUCUUUUUGCUUUGUUUAUAUUAGUUUUGUUGAUUCAUCUACCGUACAUUGAUUCUCACAAUUUUUUUUAUUUAUUCUAUGCAGCAACUGGGCUUGAAGACUCAAGUGAAGAAAAUGCAAGUGCUUUACCUCUUCCAUUUAUGUUCAUGUUGAGUAUUUUAUAUGUGUGAAACAAGCUUAUUUCCUACAGACCGUUCUCAUUUGAGACUUGUUAUUUUCUGUCCACUACAAUAAAAUUACUGUGGUGGCAAUUGUUAUGUUGAGACAUCAUUGUUGUUGAUAUAAAUAUUCACUAUUCAUUGUUUAUAUGAUGAAUUCUGCAUGUAUUUACUAUAUAUUCAUUGUUUAUAUUAUGAAUUCUGCAUGUACUUACUAGUCCCGUCGGCUGUCAACUAUAUUUAAAUAAGAGAAGUACUGUGCGAAUUGUAGUUGAAAAAAAAGGAAAAAAAUGCCCACCUGUCUCCACGGCGUGUCUUAAUAAGACCGUCGUUAUCAAGCCCAGCGGGCGACUACAACUGGCGAUUCGGAGCACGCCGUGGAAACCAGGCGCAACAGGGCAGAAUGGACGGGUACAUCGACGGGGUAAUAGACCAGAGGAGUUCAAUGUGGCGACGGGAGCUCUGUAUAUAAACUGGUCGUCGUCGCCUUCGGCCGGCAAGGUGGGACUAGACUGAAUGUUAGUUUUCGUCGCGCGUCGUCUCAGCGGGGGUAACUGGGCCGGCCCACGGCGCGUCGAGCCGUUCAGAAGUCUGCGCCGUCCAUUGCCUUUUUGGGCCGGCCCACGUCGCGUCUGGCUGUGUCCACGUCACCCCGCGGCCGACGCAAGUUUAGUCCCACCUCGCCGGCCGAAGGGGACGACGAGCAGCUUAUGUACUCAGCUCCCAUCGACACAUUGAACUCCUCUAUUACUACCCGUCGAUGGACCGCGUCGAUGCUGCCCUGUUGGGCCUAGUUUGCACGCUGUGUUCUGAAACCACUGUCGUAGUCGUCCGGUGGGCUUGAUAAUGACGGGCUUACUAAGACACACUGUGGAUGGGCGGGCAAUUUUUUUUAGCUAAAAUAUUUUUUAAGCUUUUCUAAACUAAACUAACACACAGUGUGCUGUAAACUAACUUUGUGCUAACAAAGUAACACGCAGUGUGAUGCCAUAGUUUAGUGUACAAAACCUUAACAACAACACGAUUACAUAUAUGUAAAUCUAAACAUUUCGUUUAUUUUUUGUAAAAAGUUUUUUUUGUAUUUAUAAAUAAAAUCGACGCGUUUUUUUAAUAAUGCGUUACCAUAGUUUACAACUAUUCGGAAACAAAAAAAAUCAUGUAACAAAAAAAAGACUGAUUAUAUAAUAUUUAUGAAACACAAUAUCAUGUGGUCAUAAAAAAAGGUAAUUAAGUGUAUAAUCUUUUAGGAACAAAAUAGUGGCAAAAUCAAUAAAUAUGUCUAUUACAUAAAAUUUAUAAGCAAGUGCGCAAAGCGUUUGGAAAAUAUAGUCCUCCAGUACCACCCAAUCACAUGCAAAACUCCUCCGUGCCGCAUCUAUUUCUUCUUCUUUGAUAUCCGAAUAACUUUGUUUUUCACUUCAUCAAGCUUGUUUCUUUCCGAAAAGAUAAGUUGCGCAAUCAUUACCUCUCUCGAAUCAUCAAUUGACCUCUGAAAAAAAAGUGAUGUUAGCACAGCGUUCAUAGUACAUCGUAGUACAAACAUGACUUGCGUACCUGUGAAAAUAAGCCUAUCCAUUUGUCACCAUCCCAAUAUUGAAAGCAUAGAAGGAGAAAUAUUCCACACGAAUUCCUAGUGCAUACAAUUUAUGAAGAUUAAAUAUCUACUGUACAUACAGGACCGACAUGCUGUCAAAGUAAUAACUCACCCAUCAUGUUGUUUUGGCAUGUCAUACGUUUCAAUAGGCCAAUUGGAAACAUCCGGAUAAUUCACAAUUCCGGUUGCAUUUGCUUCCUGGAUAUCUUCUGCUAGUUGUUUUCUCUAAAGAUAUAAUAAAAAUGGUGGAAAGAAUGUCAUUCAGUGUACUAAAAAAACCAAUGUUACCAAAUGCACAUUUGAAAGUUAAACCUACCAGGUCCUCAACGAGUUCUCUAAUAACACUGUCAAGUUUUCCGUUCAUCAACGAGUCAAGAACCUGAAAUUCUCUCUUCCCGCGAUGCGUGACGACAAUAAUUCAGAGAUUGUUCUGCUUGUUUAGAGGAAUGUAAGUCUGCAUCACAAGGACCAUAAAACACAAUCAGCACAUACUAUCAUAUGUAUGUACCAUGUAACCAAUCAAACUUACCUUUGAUUUUUUGAAAUACUCGUCCUCACAUCUAUUCACGGGUCCAUUACUAUGUCGGUCCUGUAUGUACAGUACCACCCAAUCACAUGCAAAACUCCUCCGUGCCGCAUCUAUUUCUUCUUCUUUGAUAUCCGAAUAACUUUGUUUUUCACUUCAUCAAGCUUGUUUCUUUCCGAAAAGAUAAGUUGCGCAAUCAUUACCUCUCUCGAAUCAUCAAUUGACCUCUGAAAAAAAGUGAUGUUAGCACAGCGUUCAUAGUACAUCGUAGUACAAACAUGACUUGCGUACCUGUGAAAAUAAGUCUGUCCAUUUGUCACCAUCCCAAAAUUGAAAGCAUCGAAGGAGAAAUAUUCCACACGAAUUCCUAGUGCAUACAAUUUAUGAAGAUUAAAUAUCUACUGUACAUACAGGACCGACAUGCUGUCAAAGUAAUAACUCACCCAUCACGUUGUUUUGGCAUGUCAUACGUUUCAAUAGGCCAAUUGGAAACAUCCGGAUAAUUCACAAUUCCGGUUGCAUUUGCUUCUUGGAUAUCUUCUGCUAGUUGUUUUCUCUAAAGAUAUAAUAAAAAUGGUGGAAAGAAUGUCAUUCAUUGUACUUAAAAAAACCAAUGUUACCAAAUGCACAUUUGAAAGUUAAACCUACUAGGUACUCAACGAGUUCUCUAAUAACACUGUCAAGUUUUCCGUUCAUCAACGAGUCAAGAACCUGAAACUCUCCUCUUCCCGCGAUGCAUGACGACAGUAAUCCAGUGAUUGUUCUGCUUGUUUAGAGGAAUGUAAGUCUGCAUCACAAGGACCAUAAAACACAAUCAGCACAUACUAUCGUAUGUAUGUACCAUGUAACCAAUCAAACUUACCUUUGAUUUUUUGAAAUACUCGUCUUCACAUCUAUUCACGGGUCAAUUACUAUGCGACUCUACUUCAUAAUCGUUACCGGCGGUCUUCUUUCCGGGUCUAACGUGAAGCAACCAAUGUAUCCUCCAAGUUGUCAAUAUGAAACGAUCAUCACUAACUUUGUCGACCAAAUAUGAUGAGUAUGCAUUAAUUACCUAUAAAUAAUGUGUCAGAUUUAACAAUGGUGUUUUCGAAUCAAUUGUAAAACAAUAUAUGAAAUUAACUUAUGUCUCCACUUAGCCACUCAUGGUUAAUAAUCUGACAAGCUCUCCGCACAGUGAGACCUUCUUCCAAGCCAUCAUUGCAAUUUUCUGUUUUGGCAUGUUUUUGUGAAUGCUCAUGCGCGUGCACGUACUUGAUGGACGCUUUCACCACAUCAUACUCAUCACUAGAUUUGUUGACACCACCAUUUAUGAAAAAUUCUGUAACGCACAACUCAAAUAAUUAUAAACGCAAAUAUAUAAAUAAUUAUUACGCAAGAACAAUUAGAAACACAAAAAACUUACUUCCUUUCGCAGAACGUUUUGCACGCUUGUUCGGUUUAGGGACCACAUAAGGAGACUUGACAUGCUGUGAUCCUUUGCGCUUGCGCCUGCCAGUAACCUCCUCCACUUCCUCUUGUACUCCUUGAGAACCAAGCGACGCAUGCGAUGCAAUUUAGUCCGUCCCUAAAGAUGUGGCAGCUUUUUCAUCUGAUACUUCUGGUACUUGGAUAGGAUCAUCCAUAUCACCCUUGAAACUAUCCCAGUACUCAGGUGUGCAGUAAAAAGGUGUGUUUCCACGAGAAGUUACAUCACCGCCGUCAUCAUCCUUUUGCAAAUUCAUUUUGGAAGGUGUGCGGAACCGGUCUGAAUCAUCUUUUUGAUAUACAAACUCUUUUUUCGGACGUCCACCAUCGUUUGAAGACUCAUUAAUGCCUCCGUACAGAUUCUCUUCGUCCUCUUCCAGGUUACUGGGUUUGUAGAAGACGUCGGUUUUGUUCAGUUUCUCAAUCAUCCUCUGCAAGAAAACAUUUUAUCUUAGUUCUUCAAUUCAGUGAUGGAUAUUAAAGUGACGUGCUCAAGUGUUACAUGUGCGCAUAACUCUGGCAAACGAAGCAGUUCCUUUCGAAGCUCAUUCAUCUCACUCAAAAUCCGGUCCAUAGUAGGCUUCUGGCUCGAAGCCUCUGAGGUACUGCCCUCUUUCCUCGUUCCAGUAACGUUAGACUUUUUGCUACUAGCUUUCUUGGUUUUUUGAGCUUCUUCUUCUACAAUUUUUUUCAGCCUAUACUCCUCUGUAAUGUUGUCAUCGAUCUACAAAUGCAACAAGAGAAUUAUACAUACAAACCAUACGCACACUUAACUUUGUUUCAUAAAUGUAAAAAAACAUGAUUACUAGGAUUACCAUCCCAACACCACGACCAUAUUCAUAGUCGUAUUUGUCUCUUCUCACAGCCAUAUCUUCCGUCCAGUUCCUCAUCAGCGGGCUCAACAAUUCCAACGGAUCAUAUUUGGACCGGUGAUUGGUUGCACCUUCUCCCAGUAUAGGUACUGCAAAACACAUAAACUAAUUAAAUUAUAUGUUUUUCCGUGACAUUUUCUAAGAAAAGUGUUCAAAUUAAUAAAUACAACGUACUUGCAAAUGGGCGAGGUUCCCCUGGGGCCACUGCCUAACAUGGCCGUCCUGCAGAAGCUUACCAAUCUCCGACAAACAGAAUCGUGAAGUGAAUGCAUUCCAGUUGAACUUCCGUAUCAACUUAAUAUUUUGCACUAAGGCAUAGUAUUUUUUCGGAACGUAUUCAUGAGACACUGGUGCAAUUAUAGUUCCUAAAAGAACUAGAAAUGUCAUCCGAAUAAAGUCAUUGUUGUUGUUCUCACAAUCUUUUCUAUGAGAUCAUCAAUCAUGAUCUUACCAUUUUUCUUGCUAACAAAACUAACUGGUAUUUUUUGGUUGCUUUUUCUCCUUCAGUACUAAGAAACCCAAAAGCAUCCACUCCAUUGUUUUUCCAACCAAAAAGGAGUACACAUCAUCAGGCUUAGUGAAAUAAGACCUUUACUUCCAGCAGUACUUCCAGAACUCUCUUCAACCAUAAAUUUUUUGCUACUCAGAUUGUAACCUUGGAGUAAAAAGUGAAGCAAAAAAUCACGCAUCUUUAUCGAUGGUAUUCUAAACAUGCCCUGCAUAUCCGUUUCAUAAAACCGGAAUUUCUGACUGGGUGACAGUUUGUCAACUAGGCUAACCCACUUUUGAACAGAACAUGGAAUCACACCGUCGAUAUUCAUACUGCAUCAAAUAGAUUUUUGUCACAUACCAUCGUACUGCUAUGAGCCUCAUUGUAUAAAGCAACUGGAAAAAAAACUUACACGACAGCGACGGUGGGAGAGGCACCGGCGGCGAAUAAAGGGCGACGGGUCAGGGGACGCAAGCCGGCGCGGGCGCACGGACGGUGUUUGGACGGUGGGAUCUACAUGUGAAGCGGAGUACAUGGCAGCCUCGGAGGCAGCGCAUGAAGCGAUUUGGGUGAAGGAGUUCAUCACCGACCUAGGAGUCAUACCCAAUGCAUCGGGGCCAAUCAAACUCUUCUGUGACAACACUGGAGCUAUUGCCCUUGCCAAGGAGCCCAGGUUUCACAAGAAGACCAGGCACAUCAAGCGUCAUUUCAACUCCAUCCGUGAAAAUGUUCAAGAUGGAGACAUAGAUAUUUGCAAAGUACAUACGGAUCUGAAUGUCGCAGACCCGUUGACUAAACCUCUUCCGCGAGCAAAACAUGAUCAACACCAGAACUAUAUGGGUGUUCGAUUCAUCACAAUGUAACUAGAUUAUUGACUCUAGUGCAAGUGGGAGACUGUUGGAAAUAUGCCCUAGAGGCAAUAAUAAAAGGAUUAUUAUUAUAUUUCCUUGUUCAUGAUAAUUGUCUUUCAUUCAUGCUAUAAUUGUAUUAUCCGGAAAUCAUAAUACACGUGUGAAUACAUAGACCACAAUACGUCCCUAGUAAGCCUCUAGUUGACUAGCUCGUUGGUCAACAGAUAGUCAUGGUUUCCUGACUAUGGACAUUAGAUGUCGUUGACAACGGGAUCACAUCAUUAGGAGAAUGAUGUGAUGGACAAGACCCAAUCCUAAGCAUAGCACAAGAUCAUGUAGUUCGUUUUGCUAGAGCUUUUCCAAUGUCAAAGUAUCUCUUCCUUAGACCAUGAGAUCGUGUAACUCCCGGAUACCGUAGGAGUCCUUUGGGUGUACCAAAUGUCACAACGUAACUGGGUGACUAUAAAGGUGCACUACAGGUAUCUCCGAAAGUGUCUGUUGGGUUGACACGGAUCGAGACUGGGAUUUGUCACUCCGUAUUACGGAGAGGUGUCACUGGGCCCACUCGGUAGUGCAUCAUCAUAAUGAGCUCAAAGUGACCAAGUGUCUGGUCACGGGAUCAUGCAUUACGGUAUGAGUAAAGUGACUUGCCGGUAACGAGAUUGAACAAGGUAUUGGGAUACCGACGAUCGAAUCUCGGGGAAGUAACAUACCGACUGACAAAGGGAAUAGUAUACGGGGUUGCUUGAAUCCUCGACAUCGUGGUUCAUCCGAUGAGAUCAUCGAGGAGUAUAUGGGAGCCAACAUGGGUAUCCAGAUCCCGCUGUUGGUUAUUGACCGGAGAGCCGUCUCGGUCAUGUCUGCAUGUCUCCCGAACCCGUAGGGUCUACACACUUAAGGUUCGGUGACGCUAGGGUUGUAUGAAUAUGAGUAUGCAGCAAACCGAAUGUUGUUCGGAGUCCCGGAUGAGAUCCCGGACGUCACAAGGAGUUCCAGAAUGGUCCGGAGGUAAAUAAUUAUAUAUAGGAAGUGUUGUUUCGGCUAUCGGGAAAGUUUCGGGGUCACCCGGUAUUGUAUCGGGACCACCGGAAGGGUCCCGGGGGUCCACCGGGUGGGGCCACCUAUCCCGGAGGGCCCCGUGGGCUGAAGUGGGAGGGGAACCAGCNNNNNNNNNNNNNNNNNNNNNNNNNNNNNNNNNNNNNNNNNNNNNNNNNNNNNNNNNNNNNNNNNNNNNNNNNNNNNNNNNNNNNNNNNNNNNNNNNNNNNNNNNNNNNNNNNNNNNNNNNNNNNNNNNNNNNNNNNNNNNNNNNNNNNNNNNNNNNNNNNNNNNNNNNNNNNNNNNNNNNNNNNGGGGGGGGGGGGGGGGCGCACCACUUGCCUUGGGGGGCACUCCACCCCCUUGGGAGAUUGCAUCUCCCAGGGCCGGCGCCCCCCCUGGGGGCCUAUAUAAAGGAGGGCAGGGGGGAAGGCAGCCGCACCCCUUGUGUCUUGGCGCCUCCCUCCCCUGCUACACCUCGUCCUCCUCCCGCAACAGCUUGGCGAAGCCCUGUCGGAGUUCUGCUGCAUCCACCACCACGCCGUUGUGCUGCUGGAUCAUCAUCAACCUCUCCUUUCCCCUUGCUGGAUCAAGAAGGAGGAGACGUCAUCCGCUCCGUACGUGUGUUGAACGUGGAGGUGUUGUCCGUUCGGCACUUGGUCAUCGGUGAUUUGAAUCACGGCGAGUACGACUCCAUCAUCACCGUUCUCUCGAACGCUUCCGCACGCGAUCUACAAGUGGUAUGUAGAUGCAAUCUCUCUCCCAUGACUCGUUGCCUAGAUGAACUCAUAGAUGGAUCUUGGUGAAACCGUAGGAAAAUUUUUAAUUUUCUGCAACGUUCCCCAACAGUUACUACCUUCAUAAUGCAAAGUGACAUAAUAGUAGUAUCAUGGAUGGCUUAUUUAUUAACUUGUAGACUCAUCUUGUCUCGUAAACAUAUUAUGUUACCACCUCUCAUUAACUACUUGCCAUGUAAGCAAAAUUUUCUUGAAAUGCACUAUGUUACUGCCUAAGUUAUUCCCACUAUGACUAGCCUUAGUGGCCUCUAUCACCCGCUAUAGCGGCCGUAGCGUUUUGACGUGCCAGCCGCGAAAUGCUUUUGCCCGCGAUCUUAAACUUUGCUCCACACUCAUCCUCUCCUCUCCUCCACACAGUUGGUCUCCUCCACACAGUUGGUCUCUGGAUUUCUCGCCCAUUCCCAUCUCCGCCCACCUCUCUCUGUCCUGCCUCCCGGCGAGCGUCACGGCUUCUCCGGCGAGCCCACCACUAUCUGCUCCUCCUUCCCUUCCUCUGCAACGAGUUUUCUCCUAUAUUUUCUCAUUAGCCCUUUCACUUCCUGCUCCCCCAUGAACAUGUCGCAUAUAGAGACCAGCGGUGGAUCCAUGGACGACGGGACAGAGGAUAAGCAUGUCGGGGAGCUCCAACCGGUGGACGGAAGAGCUGCAACCGGCCACGUGGGAUCUGCAUCCGGUGCCUAUGACAGGGGUGGUGCUCCAUAGGUACUGGAUGACGACGCAUGGUGAGCGCGAGGGACGCCAUGGCCGAUGACUGGAAGCGAUGCGGCCGCUGACGGUGAUAGGCGUGCUGGUGCUGCAACCGCAGUUCGUCAGUGUUACAACUGUGGUGGGGGAAAGCUGGAACCAUGGUCUGGCUAGUUGCAAGGCGCCUACAUGCUGGCGACGGGGUGCUACAACCGUGGCUAAAAAAGCUGGAAGCGCUAUCCAGCAGUGCUGGAACCAUGGCCUGGUGGAGCCACAAGGCGGUGCCCCUGCUGACUAGAUGCUAUAACUGUGUUUUGGAAGAGAUGGAACCAUAGUCUGGUGGAGCUGCAAGCCUGCAACCACAUUCCAGCGGAGCUAUGAGGUGACACCUCGAGGCUGGAAUGUUGCCACCGGUGGAUGAAACAAGGGCGUGAGUUUUGUUUUGCUACAUCUUGUUGUGUUUUUUGCAGGAAACAUAAUUUGAUUUUGUUAGAAUCAGCCAACCUUUUUUCUUCAACCAUUUAAAUGGUGUUGGGCUGCGACCACUUUGCAGGAAUUUUGUUGUUUUGCUCGAAAUAGCAUUUGAUUUUGCUGGAACCGGCCAGACGAUUUGCUUCAAUUGGCAAGAUGGUGUUGCACAGCGAUUUUUGCUGGAACCUUGUUUUUUUGCUGCAAUCUUUUGUGUUUUUUGCUGGAAAUAGCUUUUGAUUUUGCUGGAACCGGUCAAAGCAGAUAUCUUACUACAACCAUCAAGCGGGUGAGCGGCCACGACGAGCUGCGCCUAGGAGUCGGCGAGCGGCCACUUUGUGCUAUGUCUGCGAGCCGGUGAGCGGCCCCGGCGAGCGGCGGCCACAGAGCUACAAUCGUCGCCACGGGGGAGCUGCAACCGCGGGCAUAUGUUGUUGGCAAGAAAGGGAGGAGGCGGCGGCGGGACCGGUGACGGCGACGAUGACUGGCGGCAAGGGCAGCGACCGAGGAGAUGCGCGGGAGGUGCUUCGAGGUUGGCGCGUCGUCGUCCAUGGCGGCGUGUCCAAAACUUUUUCUAAAUGAAGAAGAAGUUUGAGGAAGAAAGAAGGGAAUCGCACGGUUCCUGAUUUGUUUGAUCAUACGGUGCUGGUCUGACCGGCCCAAAUUUGGACCGGCGCGCCGGCGCCUAGCACCCGCCUUUCUUCAAGUGCUAACUGUCUCUACAUAACGCGUGAUAUGGUUAGCUCUCUUGCUAACUUUCUCACCAAAGAAAGUGUGAGCCAAUCACUAACAUGGAGGCAUGUAAUACUCACGUUGUGACUUUUUUUCAGAGAGAAGGAUGAUAUACCCAGGCCUCUGCAUCUGGCCGAUGCAUGCAGCCAAUUUAGUAAUUAUUCAAAAGGACACUACAAAUUAAAACAUCAGUAAUGCUGCAGUCUCCAUCUUGGCAAAACCUGUCACAACUCCUAUUCCCUUGAUGAGUGGGUACCAAAUGGUGGGCCGAAUACCAGACAAACAUCACACCAAAGCCUAACAUCUAUAGCCGGAUACACCAUCCAAGCCACAAUGACGGAACUGGGUCGUACACCUGUCCGGCGCACUCUCAGUGGGCACCACAUGCACACAUUGCAAAGGCCGUCACCACCUUCUUCCAUCGAUCCAUCUUCAGAGCAGAUACUAAAGCAUCGACCCUGCUAGGCCUCUCUGCCAUCGACCCACCAUGACGCCAGACAACAUCGUCCUACAGUGCGAGUCCAUCGCUACACAUCGAAUGCCGAGUCUUCACUGCGCCACGCCACCGAGAUCCAUUGCCAUCAAUGUAUAGGAUGAAGCACCGCUCCAGCAAAGAUGUCGUCCACUGGUACCUCGAGCCUGUGUACACCUCCCAGAAUGCUGCUUCCAGGGGGAAACCACAGAAGAGCUUCGCCGUCAUCCGAUCUACUCAACGAUGAUAGCUUCAAGAAGGGAAUGCUACCGAAGAGUGCCGCCAUGGCCGGCCUUGGCAGCUAGCCCAGAACAGGUUUUCACCCAAAUCAGUUCAAAGAACCUCCAUUAAAUGUCUUGUGCACGGAUCGUCACCUUCUCUGACGGGGACUAGACGAAAAGUGUCCGGCCGCCACCGCCGCCUGGACGAACACGACACCACCACAGUGCCUAAGCAGCCGACGUGGUCAGGCCCGCCUUUGCUAGGCCGUCGCCGCAGAACCGAUCCGUCAGCCUGCCGAAGCCCACCUGGGUCGGGCAAGAUCCGCGAACCCGGUCACCACCACAGGAGCACCUCCGGUGCGGGGUGACUGCGCCUUGCUAUCGCCAUCAUGAUGUGUGUCAACGCCACCAUGCGAGGGAGAAUGCCCCUCCGCCGGCGUCAUAUAUAGCCCGCAGCAUAGGAUUCGCCCGGCGUAGUCUCCGGCGGCGGUGGGAGGGAGGGGUCGAGGAGAGGAGGUUGAGGGCCGGCGGUGUGAUCUCCCCCUUUGUCACCUAGUGUUGGCGACGCGGGGGAUGAUUGGGUUCUCGGGCCAGGUGUGUGACCUGUACUUCGAGAGGUUUACAUGGUACGUACCAAUACUCACAUUGUGAUGGCCGACAACAAGAUAUUUAGCUUCUUUAUGUCGCUUCAGAGGUGUACGCAUGCAAUAAGUAAAUUAAGAAUGGUAUGGAUAAACUGGUCGAAUUCAAAGUAUUACUAAUAUAGCAUUAAGAACCAUGAUUCACAUUAACCACACACUUAUAAGACCUCAAUGAGCAUAAAAGUCUUUAACACAUGGCAUCCACCCAUCUUCUAAACUUUACUGCUCAUGCAAUUCAAUAUGGUUAUGCCAGAGAAAUUAGGACGUAUUUAUCUAUGUUUUGUCCCUAUUUCGUAAUAAUUAUACUAUUAUAUUUUUUAGCAUGAAAUUGUACAUAGUAAACAUAAUAUAUGUUUUGUAAUUGUUAUUAGAUACUGCUCCGAUAUCCAAAUUUGAUUGUACAAAAAGAAUGCAACAUCUUCGGGAUCCCACAUUUUUGUAGGCAAAAUUGAAGAGAGAGAAAAUGAAUGAGUUUUGACCUAUUAUGUACUAUCAGAUUUUGAGUAAUUGUUGAUCUCAUCAUAUAUAAUUUCUUACAGCACCAUCCCUACUUAGGGAAAAUAGGUCAAAUUAACAUCCAUUCUCUCUGAAACAAAAAUGAUCCAAGAUAAAGGAGGGGACGCCCUAAAAUUGCAUGAGAAAUUUAGUUACUCAAAAUCAUAUACUUCAAUUCACACAUGCAUGACCAUAAUUAAAUCAUAAUAAACACCUUCUAAGAGUUCCUACCUAGUAGAAACUGACAUCCUUCAUGGGAUGAAAUCAACUGAUGACACAGUGAACCCUGAAAUUAAGAAGCACCAAACCAAUUAUGCACAACAAAAUCAUAUAAUAUAAAACACACAUAGCCUAUAGUACGAUGGCAGACCUAGAUAUGCUUUGUAUACAUGCCUUAUAGACUACACAUGGUAGGAGAAGCAAUGCCUCUAUUUUUUCGUCAAAUGGAAAGCCUGGAAAGAAUGGUCAAGAAAAAAUAGUAUUCGCUGCAUGGCUGAGUGUACUGCGUUGCAAUUUCCCCACCAAAUGUUGUGGAGUGCAUGUAGGCAGCCGGACAUGUGUCCCUUUAUGGUGGCCACCAUGUGCACUACUAAAUGAAAGCAACACACAGGACAGGCCAAAUGCAACAUGAUAUAGAGGAGGCUUCUCUUGCUUUACACCAGCAUAACUCAUAUAACAAUCAAAUGAGCAGUCGAGAGAGAUGAUGGCUGCAGAAUCAAACAUGCCUUUUGUUGAUUUUUUUUCCUGGACAGCAAAGAGAGGACAAAAGCAAGGAGUUAUCCACGUGAAAGGGGCCAGGAAAGCCAAGUGCUUCAUCGCAUGGAUAAAAAUACGUCAUAGAUCGAUCUGAAGGAAAUUUUCUUAUAAGCUCUAGAUUUAAAGCCGAGUUACAGCAGCUUUGGUUUGUUAGCUUUGGCUAAUUAUUUAGUGUUUCACCAAAAGAAUGGUCCAGACGCUAGAUCGGCAAUAAGUCUGGUUGGGAACGAGUGAAAAUGUCGCCAAGUGAAGCCGAGCAGGCACCUCCUCCAACUGCGUGUCGACGUAGCAGAAGCUACCCCCUCAGUCGCGUCUCGGGGCAUUAGGCGGUGUCUCGCACUCCGAGCGGAAAUGCACCGCACAUCCACAGUUAAUGCACAUUGUCUCCUUGCGGGUCCUGGGGCGGCCAACUCCGGCAGAGGGUGGCACCAGAGCCUCCUGCUCCGGUGCCCCCGCGAGUGUGGGUAUGUCGACCACCCCGAUAAGCUUCUUCUUCUUUUUGAGCGGUGCAGAAAGUCCCGGAUCCUUGGGGAGUGGCGUGGAGGGAGUACCCCUGCAGCCGAGACCCACCCCGCCUCCACUCAGGGUCAUCUUCCCGAGCCGAUCACAAGUCCUUGCGCCGUCCGAAACUCAACUCGUCGGACGAUCUAUCAACGGCCUCACGCCACCCCCCACGGUCAUCAGCCACCUCUCGAGACUCGUAUGCAGAGCGGUUUCCUUGGGCACACCGUCGUAAGUCCCAAUCUGAGGGCCGACAACGACUCUCCCUAGACUUGGUAUGCCAGGCCACGGGAUCCACCCGGGUGCGCUGGGCCGGUGUCGGCCGAGCCUCCAGCUCCCGCCGCAAGGCCGUCUCCCUCACCUCGUCCUCGGCCCGGCGAUGGGCAGUCUCCUUCCGGCAAAGGCUGCCCAGUGACCCGUGCAGGGGCAGCCUGGGAUCACCGCAGGAUCUUCGGGGGUGGAGGUCGGCGCAGGAUGUGCUAGUGUAGAUUGCCGAUAUAUGGUUGCGGCCCAGCGAGCCAGCCCCAUCGGAGCGCGCAACGGAUGACCCCGAAGGCAGCGGCCUCUUAGGCCGUGCGAGACCACUCCCCUAUUCCAUAGCCAUAAGGACCUCCCCGUAGGUGCAGACCCGGGGCGAGGUGUUGGACGAGGCCGGCGAAGUCUUCGGCGAGGGCGUCGCAGAGAAAGCGAGAGGGGGGUGAGAACAGUGGCUGGCCACGCAGUUGGACAAGUGGAGGCAAAAGAUCGAGCAAAUCCGCCCACUUGGCCACUCAAUCCUAGAAGCUGGCCAUCAUGUUCGCGGGUCGUGCUCGCCAUUAGAUCCAGAUCCAAUGGUUGGGAUCCGCCGGAGCGAGCCUCCACUGUUGGUUAGCCAACCCAAUGUCCUCCUGGGUCAUCCAACCCAAGGACGAUCGCAAACCGCCUUGGGUCGUGACUACGCAGGCUGGCCCAUGCAUCGUCCAUCCCAACCACUGUGCGGGCCGCCGUCGGCUCACACAGCAGAGUAGCAUGCGUCGGCCCCGACUAGGAGCUUGACUCCCCACUAGGGUAUGUGGCACCAAGGCGACGGCGGUGCCUGGCCACACCAAGGCGAACGUCCGGUCGUAGAUCCAUCGCAAAGUAGCCCAGGAUGGCCAGUAGGCAGCAGAUCAAGAUCCUGGGGAGUCACCGUGGUGCCUUGGGCCAUGCCCACGAGGAGUCGCCUCCGAUGACCACGGGUAGGUAGGGGCACCGGCAUAGCCAUCGGGCGCACAGCCAACGUGCCGCGCGCGUGAGUCGGCCUCGCCGCCGCCAAGAACUCACCCAACCAAGGCGGCACCACGGACACGGGAAGCUCUACCCGCCCCUCCCCCUCUUCUUCCUCAGCCAAUUCUGCCAUGUCUGCCCAGCUAUGGGGGAGUGGGCCAGGAGCAUGGUCGGCGAGCUGUGAGCCGUGGCGGCCAGGCCCAACAGGGGAGCAGGUGCUUCCCCGCCAGCCAUGCCGAAGACGGCGGCCAGCGCGGUCGGGUCCAGCGGUCCGGAGGUGGAUUUCAAAAUCGCCAAACGGUCGGAAGCGCUCCUCUCCAUGCUUAACCAAUCAUGGAUCUCGUCCGGGCACCUAUAUUUGUGUGCUGAGUUGUCGUAUUAACAUGUGAAAUGAUUAGUUGGAGCUACACAGUGUAAUACACGAUGCAUCCAAUACUCUCUCCACAAGAAAAUGAUUUGCAUUUUAUUUUCAUUUUGACGUUUGCAAUGAGUGAUACUUAACUUUCCAACCAUAUUUUGUUUUUGAAUUUUUUAUAUAUUUGAAUCAAGAAAACCAAGACUUUUAGAAGAAGAUGGAUCUUGGAUAUAUAUUUGAAUCGAGAACAACAAGACUUUUCAACGAUCUUGGGUAUGUGGUCCUUGACAUUUACAACAAUAUGAAAACUACGCGCUUCAUUUGCUUUAGAAGGCCAAAUACAUAUUUUCAUAUUCACUUUGAGAAAGUACGAUAUGAUCUGUAUCAACAAUAUAUGCUAUGUAUGCCAUAGAAAUUCUACUAAUGGAAAUACAAAUUUGAUGCUAUACCUUUCAGAAUGGUGACAUAAAGACAAUAUAGAACAGAGAUAUGCAUGUCAACAUUAAUUUAGGAGAUACAUAAAAAUGCAUGAUAUUAUCUAAGAUCUGUUUGCGUCAUCAAAUUCAACCGAUGCCUAAUGUUCAUUCUGUAAGCUAGCACCACCAACAAUUAAAUAAACAUAAGAAAAUAUAGAAACAAGGAAUAAUAAAAGUAGUAGUGCCAUUUUUAUUUGAUGAAACAAGAUAUGUGAUAUUAAUACCAUUGCAUGAGAGAAAUAAAUGCAAGAUCAUUGUGUGAUAUUUGAUUGUGACUCUAUAUUAAAACUAGCACUACAUUUAAAUAAAUAUGAAAUAAAUGCCAUUUUAUAUAAAAGAGUGUACAUCAUUGUGUAGAACAAGCAUGAUGUGGCAACAAUAAUGUAGGAGCAAUACAUGGAUGCAAGAUCAUUACCUACGGUGUGCAACAUUUAUUUGACCAAACAAGAUAUGUGCUAUUUUCUGUAAUACAGUGAUAUUAAUACCAUUGCACGAGAUAAAUAAAUGCAAGAUCAUUGCCUAAUACUCGAUUACGACUCUAUCUAGAUUGAAGUACUACAUAUAAAGAGCAUGAAAUGUAUAACAUUUAUAUUAAAGAGUGUAUGCCAUUUAUGUAGAACCAUCAAGAUAUGACAACAAUAUCUUUUGUGAUAUACUUGGAUGCUAUAUCAACACAUAAGAUGCUAUUGGGCCUCUCUAAUAGAUCGCAGCAAGUGAAUUAGUUUAUUGGCAAGAAAAAAACACACAUGAACAUAAGAAGGAAGGAGGAAUAUAAUAGAAGUAAUAUCUCUGUUCUCAUGGGGCUCACCAAGAGCACUACAACACAAUCAACAAUCGUGUGCUCGGUGCUUGUUGCAUUCCUGGUGCUUGCUAUGAUAUGUUCUACCUUGCCAUCUUGCCAUGCACGAACUGGUUUGUAAGACAUCUCCCUAUUUCUAUAUGCAUUUUCCAAAUUAUUAAAUUUGCUAAUGCUUUGGUACACCCCUUAGGAAAGUUUAUAUGGAUGUUAAAAUUACUUUAAAAAGGAAUAUUCAUGUACAUUGAUGGUUAACUAAUUCUAACGCCUGUCUUCUCGACGGCUCAAUCAAGAGACCAGAACCAACCGUGGCACCCGCUCCAUGAUAAAGAAACUAUAACCAACAAUGGCUAGCCUUCUCUGUGACAUCCGUUGCUCCAUGGCCUACCAAUAUUUCCCACAAGAAAGACUUAUAUAAGGCCCUCGGUGAUUACACGUACAAAUAUUGUAGUGUUCUUGAUUAUUGGUAGGCAUAAUUAUUAAUGAUGUUAAAUGGAUUGUGUUUCAAUUUUUUGAGUAGCUUGUACGGUAGGUAGAACAAAGCGUGAGCACGGAUUUUGAAUCAAAGGCGUCUAUACGGCCCAAAUUAGUGUGGGGUGGGAGACUUGAAAGAUCGGUUUUCAUAUCAAAUUAGAUUACUAAUGGCUAGUGGGCGUACGCGAAACCAUAAUGACACAACGUCUACCCUUGACAGAAUUACCCAUGUAUAUUGCCGCACCAGCCUGCAGAUGAAGCAUUGAACCAAUUGAAUUGGAUAUAAAAGAAUAAACUAGCCUAUUAUGAUUGAAGGGGUAACUCUCAAUCACCACCUUCCAUCUUCCUAAAAAUUUGUAAACUUUUCAAGGGUGGUCUACAUAAGCAAACCUCAAUUAUCGUAUCAAAAAAUGCAUGUUGUUUGAUAUAUGUGUACAUGUUGAAUUAUGCAGAACCUAAUAAGGUGCAUGUGGUGUGCAAGCCAAUGGAUCCAUGUGUCAAUGAUAAAGGCUGCAAAGCUAUGUGUGUAGGUAUGAGCAUGCCUUUCUGGAUUCCCCUUUGUAAGGGGAGCAUUUUUCCGAUGUGUUGCUGCGUAGAGCCUCAAACUCAUUAGUAGUUCUCCACCUGAGCUAUGCAAUGCUGAAUAAUUAUAUGCUUGU